AUACGUAGGGGGCAAGCGUUAUCCGGAUUUACUGGGUGUAAAGGGAGCGUAGACGGUGUGACAAGUCUGAUGUGAAAACCCGGGGCUCAACUCCGGGAUUGCAUUGGAAACUGCCAUACUUGAGUGCAGGAGAGGUAAGCGGAAUUCCUAGUGUAGCGGUGAAAUGCGUAGAUAUUAGGAGGAACACCGGCGGCGAAGGCGGCUUACUGGACUGUAACUGACGUUGAGGCUCGAAAGCGCGGGGAGCAAACAGGAUUAGAUACCCUGGUAGUCCACGCGGUAAACGAUGAAUACUAGGUGUUGGGGGUCUAUAGACCCUCGGUGCCGCAGCAAACGCAAUAAGUAUUCCACCUGGGGAGUACGUUCGCAAGAAUGAAACUCAAAUGAAUUGACGGGG
RNAcentral lists this ribosomal RNA (397 nucleotides) under uncultured bacterium. RNAcentral describes it as "partial 16S ribosomal RNA". It matches the Rfam family "Bacterial small subunit ribosomal RNA", at positions 523 to 918 of the family's 1533-position model. The record is from RNAcentral.